Non-coding RNA from Gossypium hirsutum (cotton), 138 nucleotides. The record is from Rfam. Lineage: Eukaryota; Viridiplantae; Streptophyta; Magnoliopsida; Malvales; Malvaceae.
UGUUAAAAAUUUAAUUCAUUUGUACUAUUAAAAACUGUCGUGACUGACAAAAUAACUAAAUAAUGACACACGGCUUGUCAUGUGUGUUGAUAUAUAAAGACCAAUUUUUCAUAAUAAAAAUGAAUGAAAUUUUUAAGA